CACCGAACAAACAACACGGAAAGCCCACAUGCACAUCACACCGUCCGACUCCGUCUCCCGUAGUUCCUGGAGCUGCCCCGCUGGAGAUCGCGGGCGGGAGGUGAGAUGGCUGAUGACGAGCUGAAGAGAGUCACCCCGGCCGCAAGUGUUGUGAGUGUGGGCCACCAGUCCAAACCACGGAAAGCCCACAUGCACAUCACAGCGACCGGGACAAUGACGACGUUGUUGCAGUGGACAGGGAGCUGCGGAGGACGAGCGAGUUGUUGGCCAGGGUGCUGUCUAGAGGGACGUUCGUACGCCUUAUGCGGCACCGCGACGGUCGCGCGUCAGCCGGACUUCGACGGGCCGGUCAACAGCAGCAGGGGAGUCACCGGCCGGCGCCGACGAGGCCGCUGUCAACAUGGCGAGGGCCUUCCACGACGCGUACAAACACUACUGGACGGAACACACGGCACGGCGACCACUUGAACAACACGGCGCGGGACACCACGUGCAACCCGGUGGGAGAGUGAGAGAGAGGGGUGGUGAGGGCACUAGAGAGGGUGGGUGUCCUGCCUGCUCGACGCCUGCAGGACGAGUGAGCUCGCCCGCCGCGCGGGCCCGAGUCCUGGGGUCCUGCGGGCCGGGUCCUGUCUCACUCCCCCGCGGUAGCCUCCCCUCCCCACUCCACGAUAUAUCUCUCUCGCUCUCUCUAUCUCUCUCUCUCUCUCCCCAUCCAGCUGGGUGGUAGUUUUUGUUUGCAUAUGAUAUCUGUGUCGCUUUGGUGCCUGCUUUGGUCACCCCGGUUCUCGCUCUCGGCUUUCGCAGGUCGCAUUAGGAGAGGCGAAAUAAGUGUCAACAGGAUGCCUUUCGUUGCAUCCCCUGAAACAUCAUGACAUUUAUGACAGUCAACUAAUAUUUUUUACCUUGAGAUAAAUGACUUGUAUAAUCUAUUUUAUCAAGAGUAUAGUUACAGAUGCUAGACGUGAA
Molecule: long non-coding RNA, 969 nt
Organism: Frankliniella occidentalis (western flower thrips)
Lineage: Eukaryota; Metazoa; Arthropoda; Insecta; Thysanoptera; Thripidae
Exons: 2
Source: RefSeq, a predicted model, not a curated record